CUUUUUGCAGGUGCAGCAUCUUCAAGAUUCACAUAUAUUUAUAUAUGUAGAGUUUCAUGGUUAUAUGGACUCUAUUAAUUAUUUGACGUGAGAAUCUUGAUGAUGCUGCAGCAGCAAUGAA
This is a non-coding RNA of Capsicum annuum, 121 nucleotides long. Lineage: Eukaryota; Viridiplantae; Streptophyta; Magnoliopsida; Solanales; Solanaceae. The record is from Rfam.